GAGUUUGAUCGUGGCUCAGAUUGAACGCUGGCGGCAUGCCUUACACAUGCAAGUCGAACGGUAACAGGUCUUCGGAUGCUGACGAGUGGCGAACGGGUGAGUAAUACAUCGGAACGUGCCCGAUCGUGGGGGGAUAACGAAGCGAAAGCUUUGCUAAUACCGCAUACGAUCUACGGAUGAAAGCAGGGGACCGCAAGGCCUUGCGCGAACGGAGCGGCCGAUGGCAGAUUAGGUAGUUGGUGGGAUAAAAGCUUACCAAGCCGACGAUCUGUAGCUGGUCUGAGAGGACGACCAGCCACACUGGGACUGAGACACGACCCAGACUCCUACGGGAGGCAGCAGUGGGGAAUUUUGGACAAUGGGCGAAAGCCUGAUCCAGCCAUGCCGCGUGCAGGAUGAAGGCCUCGGUUGUAACU
This 416-nucleotide ribosomal RNA is filed under the name uncultured microorganism. RNAcentral's name for it is "bacterial SSU rRNA". It matches the Rfam family "Bacterial small subunit ribosomal RNA", at positions 9 to 431 of the family's 1533-position model. The record is from RNAcentral.